RNAcentral lists this ribosomal RNA (417 nucleotides) under uncultured Prevotella sp. RNAcentral's name for it is "bacterial SSU rRNA". It matches the Rfam family "Bacterial small subunit ribosomal RNA", at positions 355 to 769 of the family's 1533-position model. The record is from RNAcentral. Lineage: Bacteria; Pseudomonadati; Bacteroidota; Bacteroidia; Bacteroidales; Prevotellaceae.
UGAGGAAUAUUGGUCAAUGGGCGCAAGCCUGAACCAGCCAAGUAGCGUGAGGGACGACGGCCCUAUGGGUUGUAAACCUCUUUUAUGCGGGGAUAACCGGCGCCACGGGUGGCGCCCUGCAUGUACCUUAUGAAUAAGGACCGGCUAAUUCCGUGCCAGCAGCCGCGGUAAUACGGAAGGUCCGGGCGUUAUCCGGAUUUAUUGGGUUUAAAGGGAGCGUAGGCCGGAGAUUAAGCGUGUUGUGAAAUGUAGACGCUCAACGUCUGCACUGCAGCGCGAACUGGUUUCCUUGAGUACGCACAAAGUGGGCGGAAUUCGUGGUGUAGCGGUGAAAUGCUUAGAUAUCACGAAGAACUCCGAUUGCGAAGGCAGCUCACUGGAGCGCAACUGACGCUGAAGCUCGAAAGUGCGGGGUAU